UGGGGAAUAUUGCACAAUGGGCGAAAGCCUGAUGCAGCAACGCCGCGUGAGUGAUGAAGGCCUUCGGGUUGUAAAGCUCUGUCUUUUGGGACGAUAAUGACGGUACCAAAGGAGGAAGCCACGGCUAACUACGUGCCAGCAGCCGCGGUAAUACGUAGGUGGCAAGCGUUGUCCGGAUUUACUGGGCGUAAAGGAUGCGUAGGCGGAUUUUUAAGUGAGAUGUGAAAACCCUAAGCUUAACUUGGGGACUGCAUUUCAUACUGGAAAUCUAGAGUGCGGGAGAGGAGAAUGGAAUUCCUAGUGUAGCGGUGAAAUGCGUAGAGAUUAGGAAGAACACCAGUGGCGAAGGCGAUUCUCUGGACCGUAACUGACGCUGAGGCAUGAAAAGCGUGGGUAGCAAAACAGGAUUAGAUACCCUGGUAGUCCACGCCGUAAAACGAUGAGUACUAGGUGUAGGAGGUAUCGACCCCUUCUGUGCCGCAGUUAACACAAUAAGUACUCCGCCUGGGAAGUACGAUCGCAAGAUUAAAAACUCAAAGGAAUUGACGGGGGUCAUAGCUGUUUCCU
Molecule: ribosomal RNA, 567 nt
Filed under: uncultured bacterium
Lineage: Bacteria
Description: partial 16S ribosomal RNA
Rfam family: Bacterial small subunit ribosomal RNA
Source: RNAcentral